This 4721-nucleotide unclassified non-coding RNA is filed under the name Octopus sinensis (East Asian common octopus). RNAcentral's name for it is "zinc finger protein 260-like, transcript variant X2". The record is from RNAcentral. Lineage: Eukaryota; Metazoa; Mollusca; Cephalopoda; Octopoda; Octopodidae.
AUAUAUUUAUAUAUAGGGAGCUGUCUGUCUGUCUCUCUCUCUCUCUUGGUAUGUGGAGGAAUACGUAUACAUAAUAUACACACAUAUAUUUAUACAUCAUAUAUGUAUGUAUAUACACAGAUUCGCCGCCCUGCCGUCGUUGAUCCUGUCCAAAGGAAGAAAUAGAAUUAACCAGACUCCUAUUUGUAUCUUGAAACUCAGAAACUGGUUUUGGCUGUGACAAAAAAGAAAAAGAAAGAAAGAAGGAUCAUAUUUACCCCCAAAGUGGGUGUUAUCUGUUACUUUCAUCCUCAUUGUCAUCAUCGUCUUCAUCAUCGUCAUCGGCAGUAAUCCGUCUGCUUUUCAAAAUUCCCGCCAAAACGACGUUUAAAUCUUAACAAGCCGUUCCUGUGAUUCUUUUAAACUGUUCUGACAGCAACGAGUUUGCAAAGUUCUUGUUACAAAGUCUGUUGACAUUUGCUUGUCCGAUUUUGAAAUUUGAAAUUCAAACCCUCCAAUUUAAUGAAAUGACAAAACGUCGUCGAAAAUAAACGCCAACAAAACACCAAACAAAAAAAAUUUUUUUUUAAAGAACCGAACUGCAAAACACCCAAAAAGUUGGUCAAACUCCAAAAUAACAUUAACUGUCUGCUCCGCUGUAAUUCUUUACAUUGACUUUUUUCCCUUUCUUCAGGCAAGUUGCUAGGUUCCUUACUGGUGUGGGUAUGUGAGAAACCUCUUCUUGUUUUUGGGGUGUCACUAGCAUGCGAAAAAACCCCCUUAAAAAACCCACAAAGCCAUGAAAAUUGUUGAGGACAACCAACCAUAAAAAGAAAACAAGUUAUUAAAAGAAAAGAAGAAAAAAUUGCAAGACACCUGGAUUUACCUGUUAUUAAUUACAAUUAUUAAUUAAUUUAUUAUUAUUCAUUGUUUUGAUCCAGAGACUUCAUUAUUAUUAUUAUUAUUAUUAUUAUUAUUAUUAUUAUUAUUAUUAUUAUUAUUAUUAUAAGUAUUGUUUGUUAAUGAAAAUUACUCAAAACGGCAGAACGUUUUUUAAAUGUGAGCAAAUAUUUUUGACCAAAAGGAAAAAUAACAACAACAACAACAAUAAUAAUAAUAAUAAUGAUAAAUAAAUUAAAUUAAAUUUAUAUAUAUAAAAAAAAAUAGAUUUAAAUUUGCUUCCCCCUGGCUAUCUAGUCUGUCGAGACAAUUUGCUACUGUGAUUUGAAACUGAAAACUCUCACCUUGGCAACAUAACGAAUUUCUUCUCGUUAAAAUUUUGUUGACUAUAUAUGCAUAAAUCACACACACACACAUGCAUACAUAUAUAUAUAUAUACACACACAUGUAUGUAUAAUUUUUACAAGGAAAAGGUUGAUAGUGACACACUCACAUAUAUAUGAACAUAUAUAGGCUCUCUCCAAAUUGUAAAUUUUCACCCAAUUCUUUCAAAAUAACAUCCAGGGACUAGGUUUUUUUUUUAGGGGUCUUCUUAAAAACAUUGAAUUGAAAUCCUGCCACUGGGGAGAUAAAAAAAAAUAGGGGUCCAAUUUGCCUUUUUCCAUUCCAUCAACUGCAGGGAUUGCUGGUCUUUUGAUAUUUAAAUGAGUACCAGUGGUAUGCUAGGUUUGAUUUAAGUGACAAACCUCACAUCUAUCUAUCUAUCUAUCUAUCUAUCUAUCUAUCUAUCUAUCUGUCUCUAUCUAUCUAUCUGUCUCUGUCUAUCUAUCUAUCUAUCUAUCUAUCUAUCUAUCUAUCUAUCUAUCUAUCUAUCUAUCUAUUAUUCACCUAUCUAUCUAUUUUACUAGAUUCAAUGAAAAAAUAGUAAAAAAAAAAAAAAAUUCAUUUGUUAAAAUUUCAAAACAAAUUAUAAUUUAGAAUUAAGAUGUUGAUACGUAACCCAAGAUGGUUUUGGCAGGGAUAAAAGCUCGAAAAAUAGUAACAAACUGUUUGUGGUAACCAGGAAAAUAUCUAGUUUAAGAUUUUGAGUAGGGUUUCUGACACCAGGAACAGGGGUUAUUUAUUUUGUAAUUUUUUGUUGUCUUUUUUCCAUUUGUUAUUUACCUGGCCUUGAUUAACUAUCUACUCAACUUGAUUUAUACUUUAUCUACCUGGUUGCCUAUCUAGCUACCUAGAUAAUUAGCUACUUAACUCUCUAGUUAGCUGCCUAAUUAGUUGUCAGAAUACUCACUCAUCCGCCUACCUACCUGUCUACUUGCCUACCUACCUACCUACCUACCCACCUAUUCCUAUGUAUGAACAUAGCUACUUACCUAUCUAGCUAGUUGCCAAUCUGUCUACAUAGUCACCUACCUACCAACUUAACCAGUUACCAAUUUAGUUAGUUGGCUAUUUAUAUAGCCUACACACCCUUCUUCCAACCUGUAUAUCUAUAUAUUUGGUUACCAAUCUAACCGCCAGUCUACCUAGCUAGCUACCUUUCUAGUUACCAAUCUAGCUCACUAUAUUAGCUAUUGUCCUACCUAUUACUGAUUUAGCUUCAUUCGACCUGUCUAUCUACCUAUCCACAACCUACCUACAGACCUUGCUACCUGCCUGCCUGCCUAUCUGCCCACCUAUAUAUCAAUCUUCCGAGCUAGCUGAUGUUGACCGACAAUAAUGAGUUUUCUUGCGACGUUCGGCAAACUUCAUCCGAAACCGAAGGCGACGUUUGAGUGUAAAUUCUGUGAGAAGUCCUUCUCGCAGCCUGUGUACCUGAAGACACAUAUCCGAAGCCAUACAGGUGAGAAACGCUACCACUGCAACGACUGCGAUGAGACGUUUGAGCAGUACAGGGCACUGGUGUCCCACAAGAAGACCCACCGCUCGUUCACGUGCGAGCUGUGUGGGAAAAGUGUAGCCAGUGAGGCUCGGCUCAACGACCAUCUGAAAUCGCACACCGGCCAGAAACUGGAAUGUUACACCUGCAAGCAGCUGUUCACCAGUGUCAACCUGCUUGGGUUGCAUCUGCAGAGCCAUGCGAAGGACGCAUCUCCGCUGCACCAGUCCGACGGUGGCGGGGACAGCAACAACAACAACAAAAGCAGUAGCGAUGGUCGCGGGGAUGCUGCUAUGACAACGGGCGAUGAUGUGGACCCGUCCAACGAAAACGUUACCUUCGACAACAGCCUGGCGAUCUCGUCCAUCGUCGACGAUUCCAGCCAUACCUCGAAGUCGAGCAAGUCUAGUCGAAGUGGGGGGAGCAACAGCAGCAGUAACCACAACACUGAGUGCGAGGUGUGCCACAAGAAGUUCUCAUGUGCCUCUAGCUUGACCAAACACAUGAACAUUCAUACAAAGAAGCGGUCGUUCCAGUGCAACUUCUGCGCCAAGUCCUUCCUCCACUCGUUCACCCUCACCCGGCAUUUGCGCAUCCACACGGGUGAGAAGCCGUAUAAGUGCAACUAUUGCGAGCAGCACUUCGCUGACGCAAGCACGCGCAACCGGCAUGCCAAGAUACACCGAGGGUUACUCGGCAAUGCAAUCUCAGCCAUCACAGCCACAGCCCUCACCACCUCCGUCGACAGCAGCUUGGACGCCUGGAGCCAGCCGUACUACGGCGACGCGUACAGCUUUGGCGGGAUGGACUCCGACCUCCACUCGGGUGGCAGCGAAUACUCCGGUCGAUCCCGAUCUCGGAACCAGGCGUCGCACAUGGCUGGUCAUUUGUCCGGCUCAGGCAAGGCCAACAGUAACUACCCAAACUCCGUCCAGUACCCGGGCUCUGACACCUCCCACUCUACAAAGCUGAACUCUUCCUCCCCGUCAUCGCCGUCAUCAUCAUUAUUACUACCGUCGUUGUCUUCGUCAGUUUUUCCAUCCUUCUACGCCUCAUUCCACUCUUCGACCAGCAACAGCAAUGGCAACAACAACACGUCCACCCCCGUCCCCUCGGCUGUCUCUGCGGAGAACUCCGGUUCCGACGCCAACGACGACGACAUGCAGCCGGUGUUACAGAUUCUCUCGGCCAAUCAGGACCAUUGUUUCAUCAUGAACUCGGAUUGCUCAAAGGAGUUUGACGUCAUGAACGAUCUGUAGCUGGGGGCUGUGGUGGUGGUGGCGGCGGCGACGAUGGUGGCGGCGACGGUGGUGGCGGUAGUGGUGGUGGUGGUGGUAGGAAGGGCGACAGGGCAGGGCAGAGCUGAGGCUAAGAAGGGCGCAGGGUUAAUCAGGAGGGUGAGUAGAUGAGUGGGGGUGUUCGGGUGAUUGUGGAUUCGGGUGGCAGGCUUAGUGAACGGGUGGAUAUGGAGGAGGGGAAGGAAAGGAAAAGAAGAGAACUGAUCUGGAAAUAGGUGGGGAUAAUGGGAUCUUUACUGGCAUGGAUGGUUAAGGGCUCCCGUGGCGCAUUUGUGCAGAUUAUUGCGUGGUGUGGAACGGUAUGGGGGACACAGCAACUGCGUAGUAUGGUGAGGUUAUAGGAACAUUUGUAGGGCGUGCAGUGAUAUCAUGGUGUGGUGUGAUGCUGGGAAGAAAUUAAGGGUGUGUGGGUGGCACUGGGGUACUGUAAUACAGUGUCGGUUACCAUACCUCGAGUGUGAAACUCUAGUAUGGUGUGAUGAGGUCUUGGGAUCAAAUGAGAGGUGUGCAGGAUUAGCAUGGUAUAGUUGCUGGGUUACUGUAUCUGGGGUGUCAUGCAGCCUUGGGGAUCAAAUCAGGGGUACACGUGUCUGUGGAGCACUCAGCCACUUGCAUGUUAAUUUCACAAGCAGGCUGUUCCAUUGAUUGAACCAACUGGGACACUU